GCGGAGCGACGGGUGGCCGCCCGGCUGGUCCGUCUGCGGAGGCUGUGCUGGGACUGCAGCGACGGCCCUCAAAAGUCCGAGUUUCUGUGGGUUUCCUCAGGAGCUUUCCGGCAUUGGCCAAGCUUUGAAAGAGCUUUAGGAACGAUAAAGAACUAAUAGAAACUUAAAGUAGUAUCACCCUCGCUUGACUGAAAUUUUGUGUGGAAACUAAGCUCAACGUGUCUGAGAUAAGGAAACUGAGGCAUAGAAAAAUAACGUGUCAAAUAGAGGCUUCCAGCCAGGAUCAAAUACAAUUACCAGUACAAACAGAAAAACCAACAGAAGAAAAAAGAAAACAAAUGAUUUUUGACCUAUUGCUUAUCAGGUGCUUCAGGAGGAAGACAAAGAGAUGCCUGUGAUCUUUCAUCUUGAGGACCUUGGACGUUUCCUAACAGAAAUGAGCCAGCAGUGCUUUUUUACAGCCAGCAGGCAGGGAGUUUCCAAAGGCAGGACAGGGAGCAGUUAAAGAGGCAGAGUUUCACCCCAAGCAGUGAGCGUGGCACCAUCCAGCUCCCUCUCCGGGAACCGUACUCAGCAUCUCAGCAUCAAGCUGCCAGAGCUCUGAACUGUGCCUGGAAGGAAGUAAGAAAUGGGGAAGGAGAUUGGUCUCAAAGGACAGUGUGAUUUGGAAUCCAUCUGGAGUUGUUUAAUGUGUAUGGUGUGAGUACCUUGAUCUUCAUUUGAGGAAUCCACCUCUCCCCAUGCAGCCCAGGUGCUUCCAGAGAAGCUGACCUACUCCCUGUGCCAAAAUAAAUUAUCAAGCAAGGAAACAGGAAAUCUUGGUCAAAUUUCCGGCCCAGGGUCCACAACAUAGAGAUUAGGACCUUGGGAGAAGCAGAUCCAGCAAACAGGAAACAAGGUAAGGAACAAAAAGAGAUCAGAAUCCAAGUCAUCAAAGGUAUGACACUAGAGGUUGGAGUCAAAGGGAAUAGGGGAAAACAUUUAGGUUCAAGAAGUAGCGUUUGAAAAGGGGCUUAUCAGUGGAGACUUCAAGAAUAUCUGGUUGUAUUUGUUCACCCUAACCUGGUUUGUAGGUGAGCAAUCGUUGCCCUGCCUACUUCCCAAAAGGAUUCUGACCUUUAAUGAAUAUAACGAACUAUAUUUUAAAACAGAAAUACCCUCAAUUUUAUGUUAAGCAUUCGUUAAAAUAAGUCACAUAAUAAAGAUGAUCUGUGUCACAAGCCUGGCCCUUUAAAUGAGUCCUGAAAUGACUGGAGAGCUCUAUUACCUUCUUGUUAGGACAAGAUGGAUUGCAAGUAGUGUUCCCCAGCCCCCCACACCCCCAAAUUACAAGCUUCUAUGCUAAAAGCUAUCCACCUUUGAUGAGUAUCUCUUAAUUGUUUACUUUUUAACUAAGGGUUUUUAACUAGGGCUAUUAGAACUCUAGAGGGUGUUUAAUCUGUUGAUCUGUUUGUUUUCAAGUCUGACUCCUUUCAUUUGUGAUCCUAGGUAAGUAGUAGCUUGGAGGGUUUUACUUAUACAAAAAGAUCAGUUCACUAAUUUUCAAUUUCCGUAAGUGUAAAUUUCUAGUGUCAGAGGCUGUCUUGAAAUGGGGGAGGGGAAGUUAUGAGAAUGGAUUGGGUAAGAAUCCCCAAUGUUUUCAUAUCCCCAAAUCUUGACCUCCACACCAACGCCCCUUCUCCAGCUCUGUAGUAAACAAAAACACUAACAUUUUCUCAACAGUUAUUUUAUAAAUAAAUCUAAGUGCUGACCUUAAUUAUUCACUAAAUAGAAAUGACAGUGGCAGGAGCCCCAUAGAGCCAAUGUCAUUUGACAUUGUUGACACAUGUAUGAGGCUUAUCACCCUUUUCUCUCUAGAGCAGCAUUUGGAGAGUGAAUGUCCAUCAUCUGUGUGGAUAAUCUGUUUGGCAAUAUAGCUUUUUUGGAAAAUAAAACAGAAAACUGAAUUUUUUUUUCUCCUUUAGAAGAAAAGUUUGCUUUUUGCGUUUUUUUCUAGUACUUUACUUCUUUAGAGCAGUUUUGGAUUCACAGCAAAAUUGAACAAAAAGUAUAGAUAGUUCCCAUUACCCCCUGUCACCACACGUGCAUAGCCUCCCCCAUUAUUAACAUUCCCCAUCAGAGUGAUACAUUUGUUACAGGUGAUGAACCUACAUUGACACAUCAUUAUCACCCAAAGUCCAUAGUUUACAUCAGGGUUCACUCUUGGUAUUGCACAUUCUAUGUGUUUGGACAAAUAUAUAAUGACAUGAAUCCACCAUCAUAGUAUCAUACAGAGCAGUUUCACUGCCCUAAAAAUCAUAUGUGCUCUGCCCAUUCAUCCCUCCCUCCACCCUAACUCCUGGCAACCAUUAAUCUUCUUGCCAUCUCCAUAGUUUUAACUUUUUCAGAAUGUCAUAAAGUUGGAAUCACACAGUGUGUAGUCUUUUCAUAUUGGCUUUUUUUUUUUCUUUUUGGCUGCACCGCGCAGCAUGUGGGAUCUUAGUUCUCUGACGAUUGAUUGAACCCAUGCCCCCUGCACUGGAAGCACGGAGUCUUAACCACUGGACCACCAGGGAAGUCCCCAUAUUGGCUUCUUUCACUUACUAAUGUACAUUUAAAGUUCUUCUAUGUCUUUUCACAGCUUGAUAGAUCAUUUCUUUUUAGUGCUGAAUAAUAUUCCAUUACCUGGAUAUACCACAUAUUUAUGCAUUCACCUACUGAAGGAUAUCUUGAUUGCUUCCAAGUUUUGUCAAUUAUGGGUAAAGCUGCUAUAAACAUCUGUGUGCAGGUUUUUGUGUGGACAUAAGUUUUCAAUUCCCUUGGGUAAAUACCAAGGAGUGUGAUUGCUGGAUCAUAUAUAUGGUAAGAGUAUAGUUAGUUUUGUAAAAAACUGCGAAACUGUCUUUCAAAGAAGCUGUACCAUUUUGCAUUCCCACCAGCAAUGAAUAAAAAUUCCUUUUGCUCCACAUCCUCACCAGCAUUUGGUGCUGACAGUGUUCUGCAUUUUGGCCAUUCUCAUAGGUAUGUAGUGGGUCUACUUAUCUUUGCAGUUUUUAUCCUUGUCCACCUCUCCACCCUCAUCAUUCCUUACAAUAGCUUAUCUUUUUCAGAAAGACCCAUGGAAUUUGAGAGCUGGGCUGUAGGUGGCACAAACUAAGCAACACUAGACACAUGAUAGAGGGAAAGAUUGAGAAAGGACUGGCUCAAGUCAUGUGGGAGACCUGGGAAAAGGAACAAGCUGGCACCCCCUCAAGCUAAUAUUCUUUAAAUAGCUGAGGGCAGAAAAAAAUUCAUUUUCUAUUAAUAUAAAAUGUAUAGCUCGUUAUGGUUAAAAUAAAGAAUUUAUUACAUGCAUUGAAUAUAACAAUAUUUCCACUUAUUUGGAAUUGUCUUUCAUUUUACAUCACCUGGAACUUGAAUAGCAAUAUUACUACUCAUCAAGCAUAGAGGUAAAUUACAGCCACAAAGUCUUACUCAAAAUAUACUGAAUAUUACAAG
Orcinus orca (killer whale) is the source of this 3477-nucleotide long non-coding RNA. RefSeq lists it as uncharacterized. NCBI's taxonomy places the organism in Eukaryota, Metazoa, Chordata, Mammalia, Artiodactyla, Delphinidae. The record is from RefSeq and is a predicted model, not a curated record. The transcript has 10 exons.